RNAcentral lists this ribosomal RNA (253 nucleotides) under uncultured bacterium. RNAcentral describes it as "partial 16S ribosomal RNA". It matches the Rfam family "Bacterial small subunit ribosomal RNA", at positions 524 to 776 of the family's 1533-position model. The record is from RNAcentral.
UACGUAGGGUGCAAGCGUUAAUCGGAAUUACUGGGCGUAAAGCGUGCGCAGGCGGUCUUGUAAGACAGAGGUGAAAUCCCCGGGCUCAACCUGGGAACUGCCUUUGUGACUGCAAGGCUUGAGUACGGUAGAGGGGGAUGGAGUUCCGCGUGUAGCAGAGAAAUGCGUAGAUAUGCGGAGGAACACCGAUGGCGAAGGCAAUCCCCUGGACCUGUACUGACGCUCAUGCACGAAAGCUAGGGUAGCGAACGGG